GAACCGCUUUCGGGCGGGGAUUAGUGGCGAACGGGUGAGUAACACGUGGGCAAUCUGCCCUGCACUCUGGGACAAGCCCUGGAAACGGGGUCUAAUACCGGAUAUGACUGUCCAUCGCAUGGUGGAUGGUGUAAAGCUCCGGCGGUGCAGGAUGAGCCCGCGGCCUAUCAGCUUGUUGGUGAGGUAGUGGCUCACCAAGGCGACGACGGGUAGCCGGCCUGAGAGGGCGACCGGCCACACUGGGACUGAGACACGGCCCAGACUCCUACGGGAGGCAGCAGUGGGGAAUAUUGCACAAUGGGCGAAAGCCUGAUGCAGCGACGCCGCGUGAGGGAUGACGGCCUUCGGGUUGUAAACCUCUUUCAGCAGGGAAGAAGCGAAAGUGACGGUACCUGCAGAAGAAGCGCCGGCUAACUACGUGCCAGCAGCCGCGGUAAUACGUAGGGCGCAAGCGUUGUCCGGAAUUAUUGGGCGUAAAGAGCUCGUAGGCGGCUUGUCACGUCGGUUGUGAAAGCCCGGGGCUUAACCCCGGGUCUGCAGUCGAUACGGGCAGGCUAGAGUUCGGUAGGGGAGAUCGGAAUUCCUGGUGUAGCGGUGAAAUGCGCAGAUAUCAGGAGGAACACCGGUGGCGAAGGCGGAUCUCUGGGCCGAUACUGACGCUGAGGAGCGAAAGCGUGGGGAGCGAACAGGAUUAGAUACCCUGGUAGUCCACGCCGUAAACGGUGGGCACUAGGUGUGGGCAACAUUCCACGU
RNAcentral lists this ribosomal RNA (753 nucleotides) under Streptomyces sp. RNAcentral describes it as "bacterial SSU rRNA". It matches the Rfam family "Bacterial small subunit ribosomal RNA", at positions 71 to 837 of the family's 1533-position model. Lineage: Bacteria; Bacillati; Actinomycetota; Actinomycetes; Kitasatosporales; Streptomycetaceae. The record is from RNAcentral.